GACGAACGCUGGCGGCGUGCUUAACACAUGCAAGUCGAACGGAAAGGCCCUGCUUUUGUGGGGUGCUCGAGUGGCGAAGGGGUGUGUAACACGUGUGUAACCUGCCCCUGACUUUGGGAUAACUUCAGGGAACUGGGGCUAAUACCGGAUAGGAGCUCCUGCUGCAUGGUGGGGGUUGGAAAGUUUCGGCGGUUGGGGAUGGACUCGAGGCUUACCAGCUUGUUGGGGGAGUAGUGGCUUACCAAGGCUUUGACGGGUAGCCUGCCUGAGAGCGUUACCAGGCUCAUUAGGCCUGAGAUACGGAGCAGAAGCCUACGGUCGGCAACGGUGGGAAGUAUUGCGCAAUGAGGGGGAGCCUGAUGCAAAAACGCCCCGAGCGGAAUGCCGGGCUUCGGGUUGUGAACCAAUGUCGACGGUGCCGAGGAGUGAGUGACGGUAAUGAGUAAGAAAGCACCGGCUAACUACGUG
Molecule: ribosomal RNA, 468 nt
Filed under: uncultured bacterium
Lineage: Bacteria
Description: partial 16S ribosomal RNA
Rfam family: Bacterial small subunit ribosomal RNA
Source: RNAcentral